CGAGAAGGUCACACCCGUUCCCAUCCCGAACACGGUAGUUAAGCUUCUCUGCGCCAAUGGUAGUUGGGGGCUUCCCCCUGCGAGAGUAGGUCGCUGCCGGGC
Molecule: ribosomal RNA, 102 nt
Filed under: Listeria monocytogenes
Lineage: Bacteria; Bacillati; Bacillota; Bacilli; Caryophanales; Listeriaceae
Source: RNAcentral